UACGGAGGGUGCAAGCGUUGUUCGGAAUUAUUGGGCGUAAAGCGCGUGUAGGCGGUUGGUUAAGUCUGAUGUGAAAGCCCUGGGCUCAACCCGGGAAGUGCAUUGGAAACUGGCUAACUUGAGUACGGGAGAGGGUAGUGGAAUUUCGAGUGUAGGGGUGAAAUCCGUAGAUAUUCGAAGGAACACCGGUGGCGAAGGCGGCUACCUGGACCGAUACUGACGCUGAGACGCGAAAGCGUGGGGAG
RNAcentral lists this ribosomal RNA (245 nucleotides) under uncultured Desulfuromonas sp. RNAcentral describes it as "partial 16S ribosomal RNA". It matches the Rfam family "Bacterial small subunit ribosomal RNA", at positions 524 to 768 of the family's 1533-position model. The record is from RNAcentral. Lineage: Bacteria; Pseudomonadati; Thermodesulfobacteriota; Desulfuromonadia; Desulfuromonadales; Desulfuromonadaceae.